CAGCCUUACUGUAGGAGUUCUGG
RNAcentral lists this non-coding RNA (23 nucleotides) under Cricetulus griseus (Chinese hamster). Lineage: Eukaryota; Metazoa; Chordata; Mammalia; Rodentia; Cricetidae. The record is from RNAcentral.